RNAcentral lists this ribosomal RNA (324 nucleotides) under Lactiplantibacillus plantarum. Its description in RNAcentral is "bacterial SSU rRNA". It matches the Rfam family "Bacterial small subunit ribosomal RNA", at positions 9 to 305 of the family's 1533-position model. Lineage: Bacteria; Bacillati; Bacillota; Bacilli; Lactobacillales; Lactobacillaceae. The record is from RNAcentral.
GAGUUUGAUCCUGGCUCAGGACGAACGCUGGCGGCGUGCCUAAUACAUGCAAGUCGAACGAACUCUGGUAUUGAUUGGUGCUUGCAUCAUGAUUUACAUUUGAGUGAGUGGCGAACUGGUGAGUAACACGUGGGAAACCUGCCCAGAAGCGGGGGAUAACACCUGGAAACAGAUGCUAAUACCGCAUAACAACUUGGACCGCAUGGUCCGAGUUUGAAAGAUGGCUUCGGCUAUCACUUUUGGAUGGUCCCGCGGCGUAUUAGCUAGAUGGUGGGGUAACGGCUCACCAUGGCAAUGAUACGUAGCCGACCUGAGAGGGUAAUC